UUGGAGGGCAAGUCUGGUGCCAGCAGCCGCGGUAAUUCCAGCUCCAAUAGCGUAUAUUAAAGUUGUUGCAGUUAAAAAGCUCGUAGUUGAAUUUCGGGGUUCUACCGUUGGUCGGGCUUUGUCUGUACUGGUGUGUAGAAUUUCUACCUUCUGGGGAACCAUCAUGCUAUUAAUUUAGCGUGGUGGGAAACCAGGACCUUUACCUUGAAAAAAUUAGUGUGUUCAAAGCAGGCUUAUGUCUGAAUACAUUAGCGUGGAAUAAUAGAAUAGGACGGUGGUCCUGUUUUGUUGGUUUCUGAAUCACCGUAAUGAUUAAUAGGGAUAGUUGGGGGCAUCAGUAUUCAAUUGUCAGAGGUGAAAUUCUUGGAUUUAUUGAAGACUAACUUCUGCGAAAGCAUUUGCCAAGGAUGUUUUCAUUAAUCAAGAACGAAAGUUAGGGGAUCGAAGACGAUCAGAUACCGUCGUAGUCUUAACCAUAAACUAUGCCGACUAGGGAUCGGACGAUGUUAAUUUUUCUUGACUCGUUCGGCGCCUUACGGGAAAC
Molecule: ribosomal RNA, 544 nt
Filed under: uncultured Glomeromycotina
Lineage: Eukaryota; Fungi; Glomeromycota
Description: SSU rRNA
Rfam family: Eukaryotic small subunit ribosomal RNA
Source: RNAcentral